CACAAAGCCUGUGGGAGUAACCAACCAAUAUUUGAUUUGAUUUAAAGCAUGUACUCUGUGAGAUAAAACCCAGACUUGGCACUGUGUGGGUGGAUAAGAACCAGAGAUUAGAUUGGUCAUGGACCUAGAAGAAACCAAAUACUACUUUUCUGCUAAAAGAAUGUAGCAAUAAAAUGACUCCUAAUGGCAUUCUGCUAUACUCAUAGAUCAGUGCCUUGCUCAGCCAUCAUCAGAGAAGCUUCCUCCUGGAGCAGAUGGGAAAAAAUACCGAGAUCCACAGCCAGAAAAUAUGCAGAGAGAGACCUCAAAAGCACUAAAUGGGAUGUCUCCAUCAAUUCUUUCCCCUCAUGGCUCAGGAAACUGUGAAAGAGGAGGGUUUCUCUGUUGAUUUGGAGCCUGUCCUGGAACUUGCUCUGUAGACCAUGCUGGCCUUGAACUCACAGAGAAUUGCUGGACUCUGUCUCCCAAGUGCUGAGAUUAAAGGCAUGCGCCACCACCACCUGGCUUAUUUUAAUUCUCGAUUAGUAAGAGUAGAUUAAAAUAUUUUC
Molecule: long non-coding RNA, 548 nt
Filed under: Cricetulus griseus (Chinese hamster)
Lineage: Eukaryota; Metazoa; Chordata; Mammalia; Rodentia; Cricetidae
Description: lncRNA (ENSCGRG00015035581.1)
Source: RNAcentral